This 406-nucleotide ribosomal RNA is filed under the name uncultured bacterium. RNAcentral describes it as "partial 16S ribosomal RNA". It matches the Rfam family "Bacterial small subunit ribosomal RNA", at positions 29 to 526 of the family's 1533-position model. The record is from RNAcentral.
AUUGAACGCUGGCGGCAGGCCUAACACAUGCAAGUCGAGCGAGCGGCGGACGGGUGUGUAAAGUCUGGGAGACUCCCUCCUGGCGGGGGAUAACACCUGGAAACGGUAGCCUAUACCCCACACCAUCAGCUGUGCCCAGAUGGGAUUAGCUAGUAGGUGGGGUAACGGGCCACCUAGGCGACGAUACCUAGCUGGACUGAGAGGAUGACCAGCUGCACUAGACCGAGAACACGGUCCAGAGUCGUACGGGAGGCAGCAGUGGGGAAUAUUGCAGAAGGUGCGCAAGCCUGAUGCAGACAUGCGGCGUGGGUGAAGAAGGCCUUCGGGUUGUAAAGCACUUUCAGCGGGGAGGCGUUACCCGGAGAAGAAGGACAGAGUAACUCCGUGCCAGCAGCCGCGGUAAUUC